AUUUUCUUUAUAACUAUUUAUGAAAUGCAUGUUUUUUCGCUUAGCUUUGCUUGGUGGAUUGUAAAUGUUCUGUGUGGAGUGUACUUCUGCGAGCAUGGCCUGAGAGCAGUCGGAAGAGUUGUUCAGUCUGCUGUUGUUGGUGUUCCUAGGAUCCUGGCUCUGGCUUCACUGUGACUCUGGCCAGAGUAAAGUCUUUACUGAAGAUGAAGAAGAGGGCAUGAUUCUACCCCCAGGCCUCUCUGUGACUUUCUUCAGCCCACUAAAGAAAAGUCCGAUGAUUUUGCUGAUGAUUGGUGAAGAAAAAGGAAGAAAAUGAUGUUUACUAUGGGGUCUAAAGUAUCGUGUGGGUUUGGAAGACUCCACCACCUUCAUCACAUCUUACGUGAAAGAAAAAUUCAGCUCAAUCAUGUACAGUAUGCUGGAAAUAAACAAGACUCAUAAAGCAACUCAAAGCAACCUACAAGUACACAAUGAACACAAAGCAGGAAAAAAUAUCUACACAGUAAAACAAUCAUAAAUCUUUACAUUAAAAUAAGCAACUAACCCAUCUCUUAAAACAAAAAGGGGGCAAUUACAUAAUACAUAUGUAAAAACAGAAAAGAUCAUCUUUAUGAAUAGAUGAAAAAAAAGAAAAAGAAAAAAUGAACAAGAAGACAAGUUUUCUAAUAGACUUUUUUUUUUUAACAAACUGAUUUAUGACUGCUUAAUGGUCAUAAAAAAGAAAGAAAAGAAAUAUGUUUCUCCAAACAUGUUUGAGAUUAUUUGGCAAAAGCAUUUAAAUCAUGCCCUCCUCAGGGACCAGUUAAACAACAAACUCUCCUGUAAGAUAGUUUGGGGAGACAUCCGCUCCUCUUCAUGAUUUAAGGUAACCAUUUGCGGUAGUAUAAUGUUUGUUGAAGAGGUGUAAUGAAAAGAAAAUGUCAGUGGAAGAGCAGCAUGUGGUAAACUCAAAUUCACGGCUAACUAUGUGUUUAAAGAAUGUGUGCAUGGUUCCUUAAUUGGGCUCACAUUGCCCAUAAUGGGAUCAGUGUGCGUAAGAAAGCUUUUGAUAAGAAAAUCACAAAUCUACUAAACUGUAUAUCACAUCUAUUUGGCUUUCAAUUAUCUGAUCUCUUGGACAAUUUUAAAACACUCUAAACAGCAUGUAAUUGCACCUAAUCAUUUUCCCUUCUGAGCACAUUUAAAAAAAGCAGCUAUACUCCAUAAUGAACUGUUAGUGUGAGUGCCUCAAAGAUGGGCAGCAUAACAAAGUGCUUUUCAUAUAUCGGGUCGAUCUAUUAUGACAUUAAUCCUACCUGCAGCAGUAGAGAUGCCAAGAAUUCUGCAUACAUGCUCCACCACAACCCACAAAUCUGAGCUACUCAUUGCCAAAUCCAAAGUUCUUCUCCUUUUUAGAGUUCCUUCACCAUAUCAACGGAACUAAUACUAUUCCACAGGUAAAACGAGCACAAAGCUAUGGCUGUGGAUAGGUAGCAUAACCAUGGCAGCAUGGGCUCAUGGCUGAUAAUCUUGCAGCCUUAGGGUGCUGUAAAAUGGCUACAAGGGAACGCUUGUCCCUGUUAAUCUGCCUAAUAAAAUAGCUAAAACCUACACACUGACCACGCCUGCUGGUUUCACACACAUUCCACUUCCUUUCAAGGUGAGGGAUAAAAGUCUGGAAAAAUAGUUGAGGAUUACCUGUUUUUGUGUUAGCCAGUAUUGCAGCUAAGACCAGACUCUCCUGGGGAUAAACCAUAAAUGCACACACAAAGAGUUCAGUGAAGUAUUUAUCCUGCAUAAGAAAUCGUUUGUUUUGGAGCUGCUGAAGGAUAAGUGACCUUGCACAAAUCUAUGCUAUUAAUCAAAAAUGUGCAUGCCAGAGUAGCAGUUCUAUUUCUCCUGAACAGGAUGUGCAGUGAGAGACUCUAACAUGUCUGGCUGAUAAGCUGGACUAAAUGAAAUGAUUAAUGGUAUAGGUGGGGCAGACCUGUCAUACAUACAAACAUGUAAAGACACCAGUCCUGACAGGAGGCAGACGCUCAGACACCGUAUCCAGCAGCCUAAAUAUACCUGUGUCAGAGGUCACACAUGCACACCCUCUCUCCUUCAUUGCAUAUUAUGAAAGAUUAAAACCAUUACAGCAUGAUUCGAUCAAAAAAGGCAACAGGACAACAUAAACAGUAUGAGUCAAGAACUUCUGUCAUGCACAAGCUUUCUUCUACAGUAAAAUUCUUAGUUUGCAUGGUCUCAUGGGUGCUGCAGUAGAUUUAAAACGGAUAGAUAAACAAUAAAAAAACAAUGUGUAAAAAAACAACAUUAAAUGCUGUCACGGCCAUAUUUAACAUACUGCUAUACAGAUAAUCUACUGGCUUGUGUACAGAAUUUGUGCAACAUUGUGCAAGAUAUUGUGCAAGGUUGGAAAAAAUGAUGGCUCAUGCAGUACAGUAAAAGUCUUAGUCACAUUGUGAGGUAUUGUGCACUGUACAUUGUGUUAUUGAUAUUGAUAUUACAUACCCCCACACUGUGCAGUGGGAAGCAUGUCUGUAUCACACCUCCAGAACCCCAGUUUGUUCCUGAGCUUGGGUUACUGUCUGUUUGGAGUUUCAUCUGUUCUCUUCACGUACAUGUAGAGUUCCUCAGGGUUCUCUGGUUUCAUCUCACUGUCCAGAAACUUGCAGGUGAAGUCUCAUCCCUUGUACCCAGUGUUGUGCCCAGGGAUUGGCUCUGGAUCCACAGAGGCCCAGAACAAGAUAAAACACUUACUGAAGAUGAAUGAGUGAAUUAAAUUGACUACUUCUUACACAAAUUGCAAUCAUA
Molecule: long non-coding RNA, 2796 nt
Organism: Hemibagrus wyckioides
Lineage: Eukaryota; Metazoa; Chordata; Actinopteri; Siluriformes; Bagridae
Exons: 5
Source: RefSeq, a predicted model, not a curated record